CGGAAAAUUUAAUUAGAAUUUUCGCUGUAACAUUACAAAACACUUUAAAAAAUUCAGCAUUUAAAAUAAUUCAUUGUAACGCAGUUCUCGAGGACAUCGAAAGGCAAGAUGACCUACAAGAAAAACUUAGUCUAUACCAUACGACAAAAACGUGCCAUCUUGGAAUAAAUGAAAUGAAGAAAGAAGAAAAUAUUAUUGACCAAAAAUGUGUGACGACAUAGAAAAUUAUGUUAACAAUUGUGACAUAUGACAAAACAAUAAGUGUGAUCGAAAACCACCAGUGAUAAAAUUUAACUUAACCCCAACAGCAUCAAAACCAUUCGAAUAUAUUCAUGUUGAUACCUUUAGGAUAAACCAUGAAGCUUACGUUACAAUAAUUGACGCAUUUUUACCCUAUGGACAAGCGUAUCCAUUAAAAAGCAUAACAGGAACCGAGGUAGUUGAAAAUCUUUUUAAUUUUACAAUGCAUCAUGGAUUACGAUUGAAAAUAACCUCCGAUCACGAAACAGAAUUUAAAAACAAAGACCUCGAAGGCUUUUGAAACCGAUGAAGAUCAAAAUGUUGGCUCUUCUAUUCGUAGCAGUUCUAACCGAACCAAUAGUAACAACAGACGUACAAGUUACCAAACUCGUAAAUUCUAUACUUCCUAUCCAGAUACGUAAGGCAAAGUUGAUUUUUAAUAAUAUAAUAUUAUGUAGAUUCAAGCCAAAUAAUUAAUCACGUAGAAAGCAUAGAGAAUGCAUCCAAAAUAAUUAAAGAUAAGUUUAAUGUUAAAAAUAUAACUAAUAUUAUUUCUUAUUAUGGACUUGCCGAAAAUUGUUUAAGAACUGAAUAUUUGAUACAAUAACGGUGGAAAAACUUGAAAAUUUACAUCCACAUGUUCGUAAAGAACGAGGCCUAGUUAACGCGGUUGGUAAAAUAAAUAAAUGGCUAUUUGGAACUCUCGACGCUGACGAUGGAAAUUAUUAUAAAGCAGCAAAAACCAAAAUUAUUUAGCUAAAAAAUUCGGACUACAAGCAUCUUUAUCAAAGGGCAUAACUAAUAACUAUAAUAAAACUAUUUUGAAAUUGAAUGAAAACCAACGUAAACUAAAAACUGGUUUAAAAACAUUUCAAAAUGUAGUAUUAAUGACGAUAAAUUCUUUACUAGACUAUCCUAGUUUUUACGGGAUCAUAACGCAAUUAAACUUAGAUUGCCAAAAUAUUAUAAUGUUUCUAGAUAACCUAGAAGACGCUAUUAUGUUUUCAAAAGUUAAUGCGCUUCAUAAUAGUAUUUUACCGAUUUCGGAGCUGAACAAAAUGCUUAAAUAUCUAGCAUCAAUUUAUAAAGACAAUCAAAUCCCACAAUUUAAAAACAUUUUAUCUUCUUAUCAAAUUUUGGAAACUCAGAUAAAUUUUGUUGACUCGAAAGUGAUCUUUGCAGUCCAUGCACCAAUUUUAAGAUUCAAAAUAUUUUCCUUUUACCAUAUAUUUCUAAUAAUCCAAAACCAAUCAAUUUUUAUACCCCAAUACCCUUAUAUGGCACAAGCGGAGAAGAAGAGACAAUUCACCGCAGAAACAAGUCAUUCAUUGAAGGAAUUUACUUUUGUAAAGAAGAAACUCACCCCCGAGAUGUAUGCGUGGAGAACUUAUUUGACGAUAUGGGAAUGGAAAACAAGAAGCAAUUAUAGAACAAAUCACUCAAAAUUUAGUUCUUGUUCAGCAACAGAAGCCUGAGAAAUUGCUAAUCAACACGGAUCGGUAUAUGUAAAUCGAAGUAACAGUACUGAUUAAGAUACCAGUAAACUGUCAAAUAGAUAUUAAUGAAGAAAAAUUCUUCAACCAGCGAAAGAAGAAACAAAUACGUUCCAAAUAAUUGUUAUUGUGUUUGGAAUGAUCAUGGUUCUAAUUUUAGUUUUCAUCAUUAAGAAGCUCUUCUUGGAAAAGGUACGAGAAUUGAAGAAAAUCGCAUCCAAAGAGGAAACCUGCCAAGAAAAUUUUGAAGCUUUUUCGAAAAAACGUUCCGUUAUUUCGAAAGUUAAGGAGGGAGGAGUUAUAUGCCCCAAACUGCAGACGAAGCCCAAAGCUAGGCGAAGAUAACGCCUUGCCGAUACUGCAUCGAAAGCCCUAUUUAUUCGAUUGUCACAUUGUAAAAUUGCUCUUAAUUAUUCCAGCCUUUGUAUCGGCUAGUCCGAAUAAAACUUUAUUUUGCUUU
Long non-coding RNA from Cylas formicarius (sweet potato weevil), 2193 nucleotides. RefSeq lists it as uncharacterized. The transcript has 2 exons. The record is from RefSeq and is a predicted model, not a curated record. Lineage: Eukaryota; Metazoa; Arthropoda; Insecta; Coleoptera; Brentidae.